CGGUACUCAUUCGGAUUGAAGGCUGAAAUUCGCCUUCAUGAAGCUGGAAUUGCUAGUAAUGGCAGGUCAGCAUACUGCCGUGAAUACGUUCCCGGGCCUUGUACACACCGCCCGUCAAGCCAUGAAAGCCGGGGGUACCUGAAGUGCGUAACCGCGAGGAGCGCCCUAGGGUAAAACUGGUGAUUGGGGCUAAGUCGUAACAAGGUAAC
Molecule: ribosomal RNA, 209 nt
Filed under: uncultured bacterium
Lineage: Bacteria
Description: partial 16S ribosomal RNA
Rfam family: Bacterial small subunit ribosomal RNA
Source: RNAcentral